This 799-nucleotide long non-coding RNA is filed under the name Monodelphis domestica (gray short-tailed opossum). RNAcentral's name for it is "lncRNA (ENSMODG00000035057.2)". The record is from RNAcentral. Lineage: Eukaryota; Metazoa; Chordata; Mammalia; Didelphimorphia; Didelphidae.
CCUCACAAUUUUAGUUGCUCACAAUUCCACAAAUGUGAUGAGUCAUAACAUCUGUCACAGGGGCCAGAGCAAGCAAUUGCUUGCCCUUUGUGUAUUGCCAGACUUAUAGUGCUUCCUAGACACUGUAUUCUCUAAGACUGAUGGAACUAUUGCCUCCCUCUCUUAGAGAUGAUGUUUCUACUUCUUGACCUCUCAACCUUUGGGUACCUAGGAACUUUCAGAAUCUUCACUAUGGUGACACUAUUUUCAAAGAGCCUCCGGCUUAGUUCAGUGUUUUGAUUAGUCUUCAAAGUAGGACUUUAAUGCAGGAGAGAGUCAAUGGAUGUAGUAUUAGCAAUUCUUUUAACAAAUAUUUUUAAAUACUUCCUACAUCAAGGACACUGCACUGUGUCCUGGAGAUAAAGAGAUAAAAAUGGGAUAUGGUGACUACUUUGAAGAAUUUGCAGAAUGAAGUUGGAAUGAACGUAUUUGUAGGCAGAGUGGAAGAAAGAAAUGGAAGAUACAAGCAAGUAUGGUGUCAUUCAAUGGAGCAAUUUCUUAGAGAAGAUGGUAUCAAGAAUGAAGGCAGAAGUUAUGACCUUGAAAAAAAUGAAGAAAAAAGAUCUUGUUUCCAGCUCUGCCACACACUAUUUAACUCUGAGAAACUCAAUUACUUAAGAAGCUUCAAUUACUACCCUGGAUUAGAGGUAUCAAGCACACAACAUGCCUAUGCCAUGUGGCCUACCACACUUCCUAAUGCUGAACUUGAUAUGAAUCUAAUUAGGAAAUAAUUAACAAAAUAAAUAAAAAUACAGACACA